Molecule: transfer RNA, 70 nt
Filed under: Dipodomys ordii (Ord's kangaroo rat)
Lineage: Eukaryota; Metazoa; Chordata; Mammalia; Rodentia; Heteromyidae
Rfam family: tRNA
About the family: Transfer RNA (tRNA) molecules are approximately 80 nucleotides in length. Their secondary structure includes four short double-helical elements and three loops (D, anti-codon, and T loops).
Source: Rfam by way of RNAcentral
GGGAAUGUGGCCUAGUGGUAGAGCGCUUGCCUAGCAUGCAUGAAGCCCCGGGUUCAAUUCCUCAGUACCA